This 253-nucleotide ribosomal RNA is filed under the name uncultured bacterium. Its description in RNAcentral is "partial 16S ribosomal RNA". It matches the Rfam family "Bacterial small subunit ribosomal RNA", at positions 524 to 776 of the family's 1533-position model. The record is from RNAcentral.
GACGAGCCACACGAACGUUAUUCGGAAUUACUGGGCUUAAAGGGUGCGUAGGCGGCGUGGAAAGUUGGGUGUGAAAUCCCUCGGCUUAACCGAGGAACUGCGCCCAAAACUACCAUGCUCGAGGAAGAUAGAGGUAAGCGGAACUUACGGUGGAGCGGUGAAAUGCGUUGAUAUCGUAAGGAACACCCGUGGCGAAAGCGGCUUACUGGGUCUUUUCUGACGCUGAUGCACGAAAGCUAGGGGAGCAAACGGG